GGCUUUUUAGCUCAGUGGUAGAGCAACCGGCUGUUAACCGGUUGGUCGCAGGUUCAAAUCCUGCAAAAGCCGCCA
This 75-nucleotide transfer RNA is filed under the name Spiroplasma sp. TIUS-1. RNAcentral describes it as "tRNA-Asn". It matches the Rfam family "tRNA". Rfam says of the family: Transfer RNA (tRNA) molecules are approximately 80 nucleotides in length. Their secondary structure includes four short double-helical elements and three loops (D, anti-codon, and T loops). Further hydrogen bonds mediate the characteristic L-shaped molecular structure. tRNAs have two regions of fundamental functional importance: the anti-codon, which is responsible for specific mRNA codon recognition, and the 3' end, to which the tRNAs corresponding amino acid is attached (by aminoacyl-tRNA synthetases). tRNAs cope with the degeneracy of the genetic code in two manners: having more than one tRNA (with a specific anti-codon) for a particular amino acid; and 'wobble' base-pairing, i.e. permitting non-standard base-pairing at the 3rd anti-codon position. The record is from RNAcentral. Lineage: Bacteria; Bacillati; Mycoplasmatota; Mollicutes; Entomoplasmatales; Spiroplasmataceae.